Molecule: non-coding RNA, 24 nt
Filed under: Arabidopsis thaliana (thale cress)
Lineage: Eukaryota; Viridiplantae; Streptophyta; Magnoliopsida; Brassicales; Brassicaceae
Source: RNAcentral
UAGAUGAUUUAUGGGCUUCCAACU